This 261-nucleotide ribosomal RNA is filed under the name uncultured bacterium. RNAcentral describes it as "partial 16S ribosomal RNA". It matches the Rfam family "Bacterial small subunit ribosomal RNA", at positions 92 to 354 of the family's 1533-position model. The record is from RNAcentral.
CGACCGGCGCACGGGUGCGUAACGCGUAUGCAACCUACCAUCAACAGGGGGAUAACACUGAGAAAUUGGUACUAAUACCCCAUAAUAUCUCAUGCGGCAUCGCAUGGGGUUGAAAACUCCGGUGGUUGAUGAUGGGCAUGCGUUGUAUUAGCUGGUUGGUGAGGUAACGGCUCACCAAGGCGACGAUACAUAGGGGGACUGAGAGGUUAACCCCCCACAUUGGUACUGAGACACGGACCAAACUCCUACGGGAGGCAGCAG